Pseudopipra pipra is the source of this 355-nucleotide long non-coding RNA. RefSeq lists it as uncharacterized. NCBI's taxonomy places the organism in Eukaryota, Metazoa, Chordata, Aves, Passeriformes, Pipridae. The record is from RefSeq and is a predicted model, not a curated record. The transcript has 2 exons.
GCCCCACUGCCCACUGAUCCACAUCCAAGAGAUUUCCACGAUGAGCGCAACAUUUUUGUCUGUCAACAAGUGGCCACAGAAGUCAUCAGAGAACAGCUUAGGGAGAGGCCAAAAAGCAGCUCCAUCCCAGGAUUCACCGGGCACUGAGAAGUCUCCUGGUGACCUAACUGGCACCUACCUAACACUCAGCUGGAGCACAACACAAGGGUUGUGGGGACACUGAAGCAGUACUACCCUGGGGCAGCAAUUUCCCAGCUGAUGAGUGGCCCUUCCAGGCUGGAAGGAGGAAGGCUGGAUGAGAACAGUAGCAAGACUGCAAUGAAUUAUGCUGGUUCUGAGACCAGGCUACAACUUA